This 505-nucleotide ribosomal RNA is filed under the name uncultured microorganism. RNAcentral's name for it is "bacterial SSU rRNA". It matches the Rfam family "Bacterial small subunit ribosomal RNA", at positions 9 to 496 of the family's 1533-position model. The record is from RNAcentral.
GAGUUUGAUCAUGGCUCAGGAUGAACGCUGGCGGCGUGCCUAAUACAUGCAAGUCGAGCGAACGGACGAGAAGCUUGCUUCUCUGAUGUUAGCGGCGGACGGGUGAGUAACACGUGGAUAACCUACCUAUAAGACUGGGAUAACUUCGGGAAACCGGAGCUAAUACCGGAUGAUAUUUUGAACCGCAUGGUUCAAAAGUGAAAGACGGUCUUGCUGUCACUUAUAGAUGGAUCCGCGCUGCAUUAGCUAGUUGGUAAGGUAACGGCUUACCAAGGCAACGAUGCAUAGCCGACCUGAGAGGGUGAUCGGCCACACUGGAACUGAGACACGGUCCAGACUCCUACGGGAGGCAGCAGUAGGGAAUCUUCCGCAAUGGGCGAAAGCCUGACGGAGCAACGCCGCGUGAGUGAUGAAGGUCUUCGGAUCGUAAAACUCUGUUAUUAGGGAAGAACAUAUGUGUAAGUAGCUGUGCACAUCUUGACGGUACCUAAUCAGAAAGCCACGG